Molecule: long non-coding RNA, 1388 nt
Filed under: Nicotiana benthamiana
Lineage: Eukaryota; Viridiplantae; Streptophyta; Magnoliopsida; Solanales; Solanaceae
Description: long non-coding RNA (NBEN_LNC026758)
Source: RNAcentral
UUUUUCAUAGAUCGGUAGGAAUGUUUCUGUUUUUUAUUUGUAUUAGGUUUUUCUUACUAAAUAUCUAAUUGGUGAGAUAUUGAAUAUUGUGAAGUCAUAUUUGGAUUUAAUUUAGUUUUUGUUUUGUUGAAAUUUACCUACAUAGCAACAGUAUGGUCAGAUCUACAUCCUUCUUUUGCCGAGUUCUCCAAAAUGUGUUAUUUUGUUCUGGUUAAAAUUACCAUUGUUGUUGUUGUUUAGAUGUGCUUAUUAUCAAUUGUGUUUUAUUCUAUUAAUAAUACCCAGGAAAUUGGAAGCAACUUGUUAGUUUUGUGUUGGGUGAUGGAACUUUUGUUACUUGCUCAAAUGUAUCAUAACUGUACGGUUUUUGAUAUUGUUUUUCCUAGUUUACAUAUCAAGGUCUUUUUAUUCUAAAUUUGUAGUUUACUAAUUAAUUAUAAGGGCUAUUCAAUAUCUAGUAAAGCUUAAUUGAAUGGAAGCCCAUGUAUCAAGGAUGCCCAACAAUUAGUUUAAUCAAUAUAACACCUUAGAGUAACUUCUUUAAUUUGGUGCCUAUGAUGGUUAUUUAUUCGUGACUUUCCUGAUUUGUAUAUAGUUUUAUUGCAGAGACUUUGGUUAAAGAGAAUUCAAUGUUCUCUCCAUCACAGGGAGUUUUAGUAUCCUCCACCUCUAACUUUAGUAGUUGGGGUUAACAUCAAAAAGAAUUUUUAAAUGCAAUUUCUGCUAUAAAAGUUUUACACAUUGAUGGAUGAUAUUUAUUGUAUAAUUUUGGAUAUCCAAGUUGAAUGCAAUUUGAUUUUGAUUGGAAGUCAACAUAAGUACGAUUGGAGGUAUUGCAUUGCUAUUUGUUCUUUGGCCUUUGCCUCUCUAAGGAGAUUGCAUCAUUAAAAUAGCACCUGUCCGUUGGUGUUUUCUGCUUCAAUUUAUAGAAGUAGUUGGAUAAGAGGGGUUGGUCCGAUGGUAAGCAAUCCCCACUUCCAACGGAGAGGUAAGUUCGAGUCUCCCCAAGAGUAAGGUGGUAAGUUCUUGGAGGGAAGGAUGCCGGGGGUCUAUUUGGAAACAACCCUAGGGUAGAAGUAAGGUCUGCGUACAUACUAUCCUCCCCAGACCCCACUAUGUGGGAUUAUACUAGGUUGUUGUUGUUUAUAGAAGUAGUUGGUGUUUUUCUGCUUCAAUUUAUAGAAGUAUUUUGUGCAUAUGCUCCAUAGUCUGGACUAAUUUGAUACUUGAUAAUGCAGUUUGAGCUGUGUAUUGGUGUACAGUCUUUCUCCUAAAUAUAUUUAAAAUAGGUUANNNNCCAUUAAGUUGGCGAAGGUUCUUCAGAAGAAGAGGGUUAACAUAGCAUGUGUCCAAGAGACUAGGUGGAAAGGGUCGAAGGCGAGAAAUGU